This 254-nucleotide ribosomal RNA is filed under the name uncultured bacterium. RNAcentral's name for it is "partial 16S ribosomal RNA". It matches the Rfam family "Bacterial small subunit ribosomal RNA", at positions 524 to 776 of the family's 1533-position model. The record is from RNAcentral.
UACGAAGGGGGGCUAGCGUUGCUCGGAAUCACUGGGCGUAAAGCGCACGUAGGCGGAUCUUUUAAGUCAGGGGUGAAAUCCUGGAGCUCAACUCCAGAACUGCCUUUGAUACUGGGGAUCUCGAGUCCGGGAGAGGUGAGUGGAACUGCGAGUGUAGAGGUGAAAUUCGUAGAUAUUCGCAAGAACACCAGUGGCGAAGGCGGCUCACUGGCCGGUACUGACGCUGAGGUGCGAAAGCGUGGGGAGCAAACAGG